RNAcentral lists this ribosomal RNA (1472 nucleotides) under uncultured marine bacterium. RNAcentral's name for it is "16S ribosomal RNA". It matches the Rfam family "Bacterial small subunit ribosomal RNA". The record is from RNAcentral.
GAGUUUGAUCAUGGCUCAGAACGUACGCUGGCGGCACGCCUAACACAUGCAAGUCGAACGAAGUAGCAAUACUUAGUGGCAGACGGGUGAGUAACAUGUGGGUAUCUACCCUUUGGCCUGGAAUAACACGAGGAAACUUGUGCUAAUACCGGAUAAGUCUUUACGGAGAAAGCUUUAUGCACCAUUGGAUGAGCCCGCACUUGAUUAGUUUGUUGGUAGGGUAAUGGCCUACCAAGACCAUGAUCAAUAGCUGAUUUGAGAGGAUGAUCAGCCACAUUGGGACUGAGACACGGCCCAGACUCCUACGGGAGGCAGCAGUGGGGAAUAUUGGACAAUGGGCGCAAGCCUGAUCCAGCCAUACCGCGUGUGUGAAGAAGGCCCUAGGGUUGUAAAGCACUUUAAGUUGGGAAGAAAAGUUAUUGGCUAAUACCCAAUGACCGUGACAUUACCAUCAGAAUAAGGACCGGCUAAUUCCGUGCCAGCAGCCGCGGUAAUACGGAAGGUCCAAGCGUUAAUCGGAAUUACUGGGCGUAAAGCGCGCGUAGGUGGUUUAUUAAGUUGGGUGUGAAAUCCCCGGGCUCAACCUGGGAACUGCAUCCAAAACUGAUUCACUAGAGUACGAUAGAGGGAGGUAGAAUUCACAGUGUAGCGGUGGAAUGCGUAGAUAUUGUGAAGAAUACCAAUGGCGAAGGCAGCCUCCUGGAUCUGUACUGACACUGAGGUGCGAAAGCGUGGGUAGCGAACAGGAUUAGAUACCCUGGUAGUCCACGCCGUAAACGAUGUCAACUAUCUGUUGGAAAGCAUUGCUUUUCAGUGGAGCAGCUAACGUAAUAAGUUGACCGCCUGGGGAGUACGGCCGCAAGGCUAAAACUCAAAUGAAUUGACGGGGACCCGCACAAGCGGUGGAGCAUGUGGUUUAAUUCGAUGCAACGCGAAAAACCUUACCUAUGCUUGACAUACUUGGAAUACUUUGUAAUGAAGUAGUGCCUUCGGGAGCCAAGAUACAGGUGCUGCAUGGCUGUCGUCAGCUCGUGUCGUGAGAUGUUCCGUUAAGUCGGAUAACGAGCGCAACCCUUACCCUUAUUUGCCAGCGAUUCGGUCGGGAACUAUAAGGGGACUGCCGGUGAUAAACCGGAGGAAGGUGAGGACGACGUCAAGUCAUCAUGGCCCUUACGCAUAGGGCUACACACGUGCUACAAUGGAGAAUACAGACGGACGCUAAGCCGCGAGGUGGUGCCAAUCCUAGAAAAUUCUUCGUAGUCCGGAUUGGAGUCUGCAACUCGACUCCAUGAAGUCGGAAUCGCUAGUAAUCGCGUAACAGCAUGACGCGGUGAAUACGUUCCCGGGCCUUGUACACACCGCCCGUCACACCAUGGGAGUUGGUUCUACCCGACGGCCGUGCGCCAACCCGUAAGGGAGGCAGCGGACCACGGUAGGAUCAGCGACUGGGGUGAAGUCGUAACAAGGUAACC